GGUUGUUCAUAUUCUAUAAAGGUUCUCUGAUAUCUAUGUUAUAGAACCACCAUAGAGUGAAAACUAGCCUAACACAAGGUAGGUUUUUUAAAUGCUUUGUUGGUUAAAUCCAACACACUAAUACGCUCAAGGGCAAGUUUCUUCGUUUUCAGAAAACAAAGCUUCUGGGACAUUUCUAGAUAGAAGAAGUAAAAAACAGAAUUAAACUCUUUCCAGCCAGUGCCGAGUGAUGGGCAUCUCUCGGGACAACUGGCACAAGCGCCACAAGAAGCCGAAGUAGGAGUUGGGGCGCCCGGCUGCCAACACCAAGAUUGGUCCCCGCCGCAUCCACACAGUCUGCGUGCGGGGCAGUAACAAGAAAUACCGUGCCCUGAGGCUGGACGUGGGAAAUUUCUCCUGGGGCUCAGAGUGUUGUACUCGAAAAACAAGGGUCAUUGAUGUUGUCUAUAAUGCGUCUAAUAAUGAGCUGGUCCGUACCAAGACCCUGGUGAAGAAUUGCAUCGUGCUCAUUGACAGCACGCCGUACUGACAGUGGUACCAGUCCCACUACGCGCUGCCCCUGGGCUGCAAGAAGGGAGCCAAACUGACUCCUGAGGAAGAAGAGAUUUUAAACAAAAAACGAUUUAGAAAAAUUCAGAAGAAAUACGACGAAAGGAAAAAGAAUGCCAAAAUCAGCAGUCUACUGGAGGAGCAGUUCCAGCAGGGCAAGCUUCUUGCAUGCAAAGCUUCAAGGCUGGGACAGUGUGGCCGAGCAGAUGGCUAUGUGCUAGAGGGCAAAGAGUUGGAGUUCUAUCUUAGGAAAAUCAAGGCCCGGAAAGGCAAAUAAAUCCUUGUUUUCUCCACCCAUGUAAUAAAGGUGUUUAUUGUUCUGUUAAAAAAAAGAAAAAA
Molecule: non-coding RNA, 888 nt
Organism: Callithrix jacchus (white-tufted-ear marmoset)
Lineage: Eukaryota; Metazoa; Chordata; Mammalia; Primates; Cebidae
Source: RefSeq, a predicted model, not a curated record